Molecule: ribosomal RNA, 460 nt
Filed under: uncultured bacterium
Lineage: Bacteria
Description: partial 16S ribosomal RNA
Rfam family: Bacterial small subunit ribosomal RNA
Source: RNAcentral
CCUACGGGUGGCAGCAGUGAGGAAUAUUGGUCAAUGGGCGCGAGCCUGAACCAGCCAAGUCGCGUGAGGGAUGACUGCCCUACGGAUUGUAAACUUCUUUUGUAAAGGAGUAAAGUGAGGCACGUGUGCCUUUUUGUAUGUACUUUAUGAAUAAGGAUCGGCUAACUCCGUGCCAGCAGCCGCGGUAAUACGGAGGAUCCGAGCGUUAUCCGGAGUUAUUGGGUUUAAAGGGGGCGUAGAUGGGUUGUUAAGUCAGUUGUGAAAGUUUGCGGCUCAACCGGAAAAUGGCAGUUGAUACUGGCAGCCUUGAGUGCAGUAGAGGUAGGCGGAAUUCGUGGUGUAGCGGUGAAAUGCAUAGAUAUCACGAAGAACUCCGAUUGCGAAGGCAGCCUACUAAACUGCGACUGACAUUGAUGCUCGAAAGUGUGGGUAUCAAACAGGAUUAGAUACCCGAGUAGUC